This is a long non-coding RNA of Brienomyrus brachyistius, 935 nucleotides long. RefSeq lists it as uncharacterized. The transcript is spliced from 3 exons. NCBI's taxonomy places the organism in Eukaryota, Metazoa, Chordata, Actinopteri, Osteoglossiformes, Mormyridae. The record is from RefSeq and is a predicted model, not a curated record.
UUUUUGUUAAUAUACAUGUAAUUUUAUGACUACUGUUUAAUAAUCUCACACUAAUGUAUUGUAAGAAUCCUCUGAAAUUUAUUUAAUGGUACCUUCACCCUGCUGCAUGUUAGAUCAGCUCUGUGUUUUAUUGUUUGAUUUCAGCACUUCUGGGGACCAGUUAUUAAUUGGGGUCUUCCCCUAGUCGCAGUCAGCGAUAUGAGGAAGAGCCCCGACAUCAUCAGCGGUCGAAUGACCUUCGCUCUUACCUGUUACUCAAUGAUAUUUAUGAGGUUCUCAUACCGAGUCCAGCCCCGAAACUGGCUCCUUUUUUCUUGCCACAUGGCCAAUGUGACGGCACAAGUGAUCCAGGGAGGCCGGCUCAUCCGACACAAAAUGCAGAACAAAAAUGCGAAAUGAGCCUUUGCAUGCAGUAGAUCAGAGCACAGACGGGUUCGUGCAGAUAAAGGCAAAUUGAGGAAGAUCUCUACCAGAUCCAUGCAUCAGAUCAGGAGAGCAGCUGCUAAAAUGCCAUUAUGUAGCAGCAAACAGAUAUUUGAAGCUGCUGGUGCCUCUGGAGUCCCAUGGACAUCAAGGUGUAGAGUCCUCCACUGCAACUGUGCAUAAACCUUCUAUUCUGCCGCCACUAACCAGUGCUCACAAGCAGAAACUGUCCAAAUACACAAGUUCAAUGGAUGCAAGACUUGUGAAGCUGCUAUCAAAUAAGGAGUCCUAUGUCAAAAUGUGACGUGACCUGUUUGAUUUCAGUACAUAUGUUGCAAACACAACAAAUGACAAUUUUCAGUUCUUUGCAACUUAUAAAGUGUUUUGCAGCUUACUGUGCAUAAUAAUUUGGAACAGUUCAUUGUAAGUGUUUUGUUUGACAAAAAAAUACUGUAAUCAUUAGAUUUGUUCAAUAAAAUUUGAAUUGCACUCAAUAGUUGACAACAUGAGAA